Molecule: non-coding RNA, 1077 nt
Organism: Sus scrofa (pig)
Lineage: Eukaryota; Metazoa; Chordata; Mammalia; Artiodactyla; Suidae
Source: RefSeq, a predicted model, not a curated record
UUAAUGAAAUCACAGUUGGAGUUAUUUCUGUUUCCUUCUUUUUCCUCUUAGACACUUUGUGAAUUUCCCAGAAAGGGCAAUCAUCACUUAAAAAAACAAAACAAAACAAAAAACAGAAAAAAACCAACCAAUUUCUUAACAUUGGCUGAAUCUUUUGUUGGCCUUUCUUUCUCAGUCCUCAGGUGGGAAUCUGGGCCACCCUCUCACCUCCCCAGGCCCCACCCAGGACAGCUCUGCCCUCAGAAUGUAGGACUUCGGGGUAAGAAUGUCACCAGCAAGAGGAAGGGGCUGGGUGACCCAGGGUGGGCUUCUCUCUGAGACCCGGGCUUGCAGCUCAGAGCUCAGGCUCCCAGCGCGCUGUUUUCCUUCCAGAGCUGUUUUGAUGGUCCCUGAAGCUACGCCUCCUGCCUUUGAAUGCUUUGUUUGAAAAGCACAUGAGCAUUUGCAAGCGUUUAAAUUGAUUCCUUGUGGCUUUAAUUUCUUGUCUAGUGUGUGACUUGACUGGUUUCCAAAAGCUCGGCUUUUAUUUUUUAACAAACCAUGAAUGGGAGGAGCAGAAACCAGCGCGCAGGGUUGCAGAUGACAGGACGCCGAAGCUCUAAGCACCACAAGGCAGCGAGCUUGCGGAGAACCUUCUUCCAGCUGGCAGUGCCCAGGGCCUGGGUUUUGGACCCAGAGAAUCACUGUCAGGAAGCCCUACCUCAUUCAAAUGCACAGAACUGCAAAGAUCCCCCGGCAACCUAACGGCUAAUUGCAUCAUGUUACAACGUGUAAUAGCCAUGGGCUAUAAUAACCAAUUGUGGAGCAGCCCUAACACACUGGAGUGAAUGCUACACUCCUCCGAGCUACAAUUCCAACCUGUAAUAACCAGAGACCUUCACAAGAGCCUGUUCUUUGUGCCAGGCUAUCCUCUAAAGCACUUCAUAGUGCUUUAGAAACAAAUACCCUGGGCAGGGGAGUUGCCUGAUGGUCUGGUGGUUAAGACUCGGUGCUUUUACUGCUGCAGCCCGGGUUCAAUCCGUGGCCUGGGCACUGAGAUCCCACAUCAAGUCGCAGCAGGCCAUGGCCAAGAAAAAC